AACGGAGGAAACUCUGAUGCAGCGAUGCCGCGUGAGUGAAGAAGGCCUUUGGGUUGUAAAGCUCUUUCGUCGGGGAAGAAAAUGACUGUACCCGAAUAAGAAGGUCCGGCUAACUUCGUGCCAGCAGCCGCGGUAAUACGAAGGGACCUAGCGUAGUUCGGAAUUACUGGGCUUAAAGAGUUCGUAGGUGGUUGAAAAAGUUAGUGGUGAAAUCCCAGAGCUUAACUCUGGAACUGCCAUUAAAACUUUUCAGCUAGAGUAUGAUAGAGGAAGUAGAAUUUCUAGUGUAGAGGUGAAAUUCGUAGAUAUUAGAAAGAAUACCAAUUGCGAAGGCAGCUUUCUGGAUCAUUACUGACACUGAGGAACGAAAGCAUGGGUAGUGAAGAGGAUU
RNAcentral lists this ribosomal RNA (391 nucleotides) under uncultured Gammaproteobacteria bacterium. Its description in RNAcentral is "bacterial SSU rRNA". It matches the Rfam family "Bacterial small subunit ribosomal RNA", at positions 370 to 779 of the family's 1533-position model. Lineage: Bacteria; Pseudomonadati; Pseudomonadota; Gammaproteobacteria. The record is from RNAcentral.